CUGCCCGCGCCGCGCGGGGCUGCGUCCGCUGCCCUCGGCCGCCGGCCGCCGCCGGCCGCGGAGCGGGACGGGGCGGGGCAGCGGCUCCCCCGCAGCGCGCUCCCCUCGGGCGGCCGCGCAGCCCCGCGGUGCCGGCGGCGGGGCGGUGCCGGCGGCGGGCGGCAGGGGGCGCCGGCGCUCCGCGGCGGCGCCCGGCGGCGGCGCUCGUGGCGCGGGGCAGCGGGCGGCGAGGCGCUCGGUGCCCUCGGGCCGUGGCGGCGGCGCCGCCUUUGUCCGCGCGGGCCCCGCGGCGGCGGCGCGGGCGCUGCGGGCGCCGCCCGGUGCUGGCGGCGGGCGCGGGCCGGGCGCGGCACCCUCCCGCCCUGCCCCCGCCUCGCCGCCCCGCUCCCGCCCGCCCGCGUCGCCUGCGGCCGCGCAGUGACGGAGCGGAGCUGCCGCGCCCCGCGGCCGGUUGGGAGGACCCGGCGGUCCGCGGGGUUCCCUGUGGGUCGCGCACCGCCCCGCGCGCGCGGCAGCCGGCGGCGCCCAGGGCCGAGGAAGCAUCUCGCUGUUCACCAACGUGGUUAUUGCAGAGUGGCCGCAACAGACCUCGCUGUUCCGGACGACGUUACGUUUAUUUUCAGCGCAGGAUUUACAAGGCCCAAAGCUGAGCGUGUCCUCGUCUGUGGUCGUUGUGUUUUGUGAAAUGUGUUGUGAAAAUGAAUUUUGCUUUGCGAAAUAUGUUGUGAAAACGAAUUUGCAUACAGUUCUCUUAGCCCCUGUAUUUAUUUAUUUAUUUAUUUAUUUUCUCUGGCUGCCCUUGGCAAGGGAGAAGUCUAGUAAGUUUUGUGGUUGUUCCUCGCUGGCCGCAGCCAUGAUGGCAGAGGGGGACGAGUCCUAGUGCAGCCUGUUCUCUGACUGACGCUAAUGGGGCAGCAGGUCCCCUGGUAAAUCACCCUCUAAUUAGCCCAGCGGUUCAUUUUCCUCAGACCACUGCAAAAUUCCUGUGUUUGGGUGACGUGACCAUGAUAUCAUAUGGCUACAGUGUGACUAAUGCUGUUAUAUGAAUAAAUAAAAAAAAGAGCCUCACCUUGUUCAGCUUCGCAAAUGCAGCGGCGCUACCAGGUCUUAGCUGCGCUUGCUAAGACGUUGAGGGUAGUUUGCAGGAGGAGCAGAGAGGCAGGUAGCACAGCGCUGCGUCGCUUCCUCCGUGGUCACCGGCCAGAUGUGCAGAGCAGAGGGAAGGAGAAGGGCCUGGGUUCAGAAAGUGUCUUUCUCUCAUGCUGAAGGCGGGUUUUGAAAAAUGCUAUUCCGCCUCACCGAGAGGACCCGGAGGAGGAAUUUCUCCUCUGAGGCUCACUGCCGCCUCUCGCUCCCUCGUGACUGUGCCUGGGUGUACAACCUAGCCCAUAAUAAUGCUUAUCCUUUGGGAGAUAUGAGGUAAAAUGGAAAAUUUUCCUGGCAGGGUUCAGCCAGCCAUAGAAUGUUACGAUUUAGAGAAGCCGUGCGAGGCGAGGGUGCAGUGCCGUUGGGACUGGCCACGUCGUGCCGUGGCCACAGUCGGCUGCGUCCGGUCUCUGGGGAGAAGGCCGCGGGGCCCAACCUGCCUCCCGCCUGUGAGUUCGGUGCCUUCCCCCCGUCCUGCGGAGAAGCACCUCGACCCGGGGGCUCCACAGGGCCCCGGUCUGUGUGGCGGAGGUGGGGAGUGCGCUUCCCACAGCGAUGGCGGGGGUAUCAGUCCCAGGAGACAGAGCUGGCUGCCUGCCUUGAGGGAGGACAGCUUCCCUGCUGCUGGGACGCUGCCUGCUACUAAACGAUACCAGGGCACCAAGAGGCUCAGACAAUCAUUCUGUUAGGAUUUUUUUUAUCUGUAAAUACGAGUAUUCAGAUUAUGAAAACAUUUGCUCCUGUAGGAAAUUCUGGGAUUUUUACAUGUGUUUUAAAUCCACAUAGAAAUAAAAGGAGUCUUUGGAAUAGUUUUGCAAAAUGAAGCUCGCCAAAAUAAUUUGUUUAGGCUGUUUUGAUGGUUUUAAUAUGUUUUAAUUUGUUGUCACUGUUUCGGCUUUUAUGGGAGAUUUCAUUAUGUCAUAUAACUGCAUGAAAUUCAAGCUGAUGAGAUGAAAUGUUUCCUCAGUUUCAUAUGAAAAGAAUCAAAGAAAGUGAUGCUUUUUCAUAAAAUACCUGUAUUUUGUUGAUUCAGCAUUUUCCGAGAUCCAUGAAGUAUUUUGGGAAAUUUUCAGUUAAUUCCAAUAGAAGCCUUAUAAUCAAUGAAGAUAAGAUUUUUUUUAAUGACUGGGAAUCCAUCUGCCAGGAUGAGAGAAUCUGACAUUUAACACAUUAAGAUUGACAAAGAUCAUUUUUUUAAAAAAAGCUACAGUGUAGUUUGAGGCCAAGGAAGUCCUAUACCCUUAACACUAUCAUUACAACAUAAUUUAGCUGGGAUGUUUUCUCGCCUUCACUUGUGUCCCUUGUGAAGAAAAAUAUUAAUACUGUGGGGAUCUCAUAACUUCUACAAAUCCCAUUUUCCCAUUUUUGUAGUAUAUCUCAUUUUCUGAUGUGUGUUGGCAACAUUUCAAAUUUUCUCAAAGUGAUCUUUUAAAUAUGAACAGCAUUACUGUUUGCUGCUGCUUGUUAAUGUUCGGUUCUGUUUGUUUUUUGCUUUAUUUCGAAGUGUGGUGCUAGGAAAAUAAUGAAGUUGAAAACAGACUGAUAAAUAAUAGGCACACUGAAGAAGACAAUUAUCCUGAGGAUUUUAGAUAUCUGAUUAAAACAUGUAUAUGAAUAAGUA
Long non-coding RNA from Dromaius novaehollandiae (emu), 2767 nucleotides. RefSeq lists it as uncharacterized. NCBI's taxonomy places the organism in Eukaryota, Metazoa, Chordata, Aves, Casuariiformes, Dromaiidae. The transcript is spliced from 2 exons. The record is from RefSeq and is a predicted model, not a curated record.